AUGAUUGCGAACACAAGAGUCACAUGUGGUGGGAGCCCGGCGGAGGAACCCGAGGGUCGCAGGAGAGCGGCGAAGCCGGCCCCUGCCGGCCGCACAGGCGCGGUCCAUAGGCUGCAGCGCAGGGUCCGAGGCCAGCUCUGCACCUGGAAUAUUUUGAAAACGAUUGCUCUGGGCCAGAUGCUGUCCUUGUGUAUAUGUGGGACAGCCAUCACCAGCCAGUAUUUGGCAGAAAGAUACAAAGUGAACACUCCCAUGCUUCAGAGCUUUAACUAUUGCUUGUUCCUCAUUCGUACUGUGAUGCUGGCAUUUCAACCAGGCAGUGAUAACCUUCUAGAAAUCUUCAGAAGAAAAUGGUGGAAGUAUAUUUAUAUUCUACUGGGACUAGCAGAUGUGGAAACAAAUUACCUGAUUGUCAGAGCCUACCAGUAUACGACUCUGACCAGCGUCCAGCUUUUGGACUGCUUCGGGAUUCCUGUGCUGAUGACUCUCUCGUGGUUUAUUCUUUAUGCGAGGUACAGAGUGAUCCACUUCAUUGCCGUGUCUGUCUGUUGGGCAUAGGAACCAUGGUUGGAGCAGACAUAUUUGCAAGGAAGGAACAAUUCAGGGAGUGAUGUGCUGAUUGGUGACAUCUUGGUGUUUCUUGGGGUGUCCCUUUACGCCGUUUCUAAUUUUUGGGAAGGAGACAUCUUGAAGAAGAUGAGCAGACAGGAGUUUUUAGGAAUGGUGGGCCUAUUUGGAACAGUUAUCAAUGACAUACAGCUAUUGAUUGUGGAGUAUAAGGAUAUUGCCAGCAUUCACUGGGACUGGAAAAUUGCCCGGCUGUUCAUGGCAUUUGCCCUCUGUAUGUUCUGCCUCUACACCUUCAUGCCGUUGGUGAUCAAAGUCACAAGUGCCACCUCUGUCAACCUGGGCAUCCUGACAGUGGACCUCUACAGCCUUUUCUUUGGACUGUUUCUGUUUGACUACAAGUUUUCGGGACUCUACAUCCUGUCCUUCGCCGUCAUCCUGGUGGGGUUCAGCCUCUACUGCUCCAUCCCAACGUGCACGGCGGAGCCAACUGGAAGCAGUGCGCCCGUCACCAGCAUUGGGAUCGAUAACCUGGGCCUGAAGCUCGAGGAGAACCUUCCAGAGACCCACUCUGCGGCCUUGUAG
Molecule: RNA transcript, 1152 nt
Organism: Carlito syrichta (Philippine tarsier)
Lineage: Eukaryota; Metazoa; Chordata; Mammalia; Primates; Tarsiidae
Gene name: solute carrier family 35 member F2 pseudogene
Exons: 1
Source: RefSeq, a predicted model, not a curated record